GCUGUCACUUUAAAACCCAGGCAUCGGGUCCACAUUGGUGACUGUGAGGAUUCUGAUGGGCCUUCUGAAUAGUCUUCAGCACAGCUGUGUCCCGUGGGAUCCCUGGUUGGGGAUUGAGGAACCAUGUAUACUGUGUGAAGAAAGCUGAUCAUGGAACUACUUUAGAUGAGAAAUGGAAAGAACUUCAAAGAGAAAUGGGAAAGGAAUUUGCAAAUGCAAAAGAAUGAUUGAGAAGAGACAAUAAGUCAUGCAAGUACAUUGGGCAGGGCCUGGGGAGUGCUUUGGUCAUGACUAAGGACUUUGCAGGUUUAUAAAGAAUGAGUUUCUAUAGCAUAACUUUUUGAUCAAAGAGAAACACAACCUCAAUCACUUUUUAUUUUUUUCCCUUUUUUCCUCUUGCUCUUCCAUUUCUUGAAAGUAAUUUACAUUGUAAAAUACAUUGGUAAUUUAUCUGGCUGGUAGAAGAAGGUGCUCUUAAUGUUGUAGCCACCCUUAGACUUUGGGUCUACUGAGUUUGAGUCUAUUCUAAACUGCUCUUCUUCCUUCCUUCACUUCUAUCUAUGCACUUGAAUACCAAUUCUGAGCUCAAGAUCUGGAGGUAUAACACAUGAAUAAGAAGAUCUCUGUAUAGUGCUAAGAAAGUUUACCACUUAAACAAAUGUAUGCAAAGCAGCUCCAAGAAGACAGGCUCUGAGGGGACCAGGCAGAGAGCCUGGUCUGAAAAGGGAGGUGCUGGUGAGGAGUAAAUGAGACAAUGUCUUCAAAGGACUCAGCAGGAUCUCUGGCACAGGAUGAAGAAAACUUUGUCACUAUUCUUUGUGACCACUGUAGUCCUUGAAUAACACACAGUUUACUUGGCUUGGGGGUCACGUUGACUAUCAAACUGCAAACCAACAGGCCAUGAAGAAAGGCUGCAUAGCCCUCUACUUUCCAGAGAAGAGCAGCCCAUGCUGGACUUCAUGUCUGGGCACAGGCCUACUUUUUUAUUAUUCCUCUGUAACUGCUGAGCUAUUGGACAACCACCAACAGUAAUAUCUAAGUUUGUCUUGGUAUGACCUAAGGGAUCUGUGCAUAGUCUGCAUCCCUGCCACCAGGGUAUUUUGUUCGUGAGUUGAUUGUACUAGCAUUGGAGUGGGCAGAGAG
This is a long non-coding RNA of Sciurus carolinensis (gray squirrel), 1143 nucleotides long. RefSeq lists it as uncharacterized. The record is from RefSeq and is a predicted model, not a curated record. NCBI's taxonomy places the organism in Eukaryota, Metazoa, Chordata, Mammalia, Rodentia, Sciuridae. The transcript has 5 exons.